GUAAAUUUCUGGCUAGUCUGUAAAUUGCAAGCAUUCUCUUUGGGGCUUACAUGUCUACUUCCCUUAGCUGGGAUCAGCGACUUCUCUUGGGCCUUUCCUCCAGCAGGCUGGGUCCCCUCUCUGUACAGAAGUUAAAAGGAUGUUGUCAAGCACAGAAAGUUCGAGUUCUGUCAGAAAACGUCUCGUUCCUGUUCCUGGAUGAACUAAAGACUCUGCCUGGAAAAGAACUAAGCUGCAAUAUACACACACCUGACUGCACAGCUGCUGAAGAGGAGAACUUCUGUUUAAUCUGUUUUAAAUAAUAGACAGGUGGAGUCUUACUCUGUAAUCCAGGCUGGAGUGCAAUGAUGUGAUCUCAGCUCACUGCAACCUCUACCUCCCAGGUUCAAGCAAUUCUCCUGCCUCAGUCUCCCAAGUAGAUGGAAUUACAGGUGUGUGCCACCACAACCGGCUAAUUUUUUUUAUUUUUAGUAGAGGUGGGGUUUCACUAUGUUGGCCAGGCUGGUUUCGAACUCCUGACCUCAUGUGAUCCACCCGCCUCAGCCUCCCAAAGUGCUGGGAUUACAGGCGUGAGCCACUGCGCCCGGCCUAGUAAGCCCUUUUAAAGAACAGAACUGAAGUCUAUAUAUGUGUGUAUAUAUUUUAAAAUUACAUUAUUAGUUCAUAUUUACAUUUCCAAUCGAAAUUUUAGGAUUAUAAAGUUUUAAUGUAUUUAUUUGAUUCUAUCUUUUUUUUUCUCAAGUGAAAAAUCCUGGUUCCUAACAGCAUGCACAUAAUUAUUUACUUGAUUUCUCUUAUAUAUUAUAUAACAGCUUGGCCAGGCAUGAUGGCUCAUUCCUGUAAUCACAGCACUUUAGGAGGCCAAGGCAGGAGGAUCACUUGAGCCCAGGAGUUCGAGACCAGCCUGGGCAACAUAGCAAAACCCUGUCUCUAUUUUAACAAAGUAAUAGUUUCAGAAUAGCAAUGUCAAUAGUAUUAGUAGAAAUUUGAAUGCUAAAAAAACAGUUUAAGACUUUCUGCUUGUUUGAUUUUAUGGUACAUACUACCAGGGAUGUAACCUCAGAUUACUGUAUUUUAAAGUUAAUUAAAAUACUUCCUCCGUCUGAGCUUAUGCCACCAACUCGUGGAACAGUUAGGUUUAUUCGUUUCAUUUUGCCUUGCUUUAUAAAGAUAGCUUUUAAAAGCAAUUGUGUUAUAAUUGUUUAUAGUAGUACUGUAUCGUGUAACAACUACAUUCUAUAGGGUCACCCUUGUAUCCAUCAUGUAAUGAUUGUUAUACAGGUAAAUAUAUAUAUUCAACGCCCACCUGAUCCUUAUGCCAAUUCCUCUUCGGUCAUUUGUUUGUCUUUUUCUAGUAGGUUCCUUAGGAAGGGCACAGAGAACAAUACUCCAUGAGUUCUGGCAUAUUCUUAACAGUUUGUGCAUGACUUUAAACUUGACUGGGUAUAAAAUUCUUGCCUACAUUUUCUUUUCUUUUUUUUUUUUUUUUUUUGGAAGGGAGCUUUGCUCUUGUUGCCCUGGCUGGAGUGCAGUGGUGUGAUCUCAGCUCUCUGCAACCUCCGCCUCCUGGGUUCAAGCGAUUCUCCUGCCUCGGCCUUCCGAGUAGUGGGAUUACAGGUGCGCGCCACCAUGCCUGGCUAAUUUUUUGUAUUUUUAGUUGGGACCGGGUUUCACCAUGUUGGCCAGGCUGGUCUCAAACUCCUGACCUCAGGUGAUCUGCCCGCCUUGGACCCCCAAAGUGCUAGGAUUACAGACGCGAGCCACCGCGCCCGGCCUUGACUACAUUUUCUUAACUGUUUGUAAUAUACUUUAUUCCAUUGCCCUAUGGUAUAAAAUGUUGCUGUUGAGAAAUCUGUCCGUCUUAGUCUCUUUCCCUAAUGAGUGGCUUGGUUGUUUCACUUUGAUGUCUAAAGAUUUCAUUUGGUUUUUCCCUUUUCUUUCAGUUCAAUAAAUUUACUUUAAAAAAAAGUCUCAUUUUGGCCACUAUCAAUGGAUUUUCCGAGGUACCUCAUGUGCCCGUUAAAGAUGUGGAUUCAGAUCUACUUGAUAUCAGUAACAUUUUUCUGAACUAUAGCUCCAGUUUGCAUUCAUUCCCCUUGCUUUGAGUUUCUUCUUUUGAGACUCUUAUUACAUGUAUGCUAAUAUAUAAGUAAUAAUCUAUUACUCCCUCUCCAAACCAUUUUCAAAAAUUUUAAAAAAUAUGUUUUUUAUUUUUGUAGAGACAGAAUCUUGCUAUGUUGCCCAGGCUGGUGUUGAACUGCUGGCCUCAACCAAUCCUCCUGCCUCGGCCUCUCAAAGUGCUGGGAUUACAGGUGUGAGGCACCACACCUGGCUUCUCCAGCCCUUAUCUUUUUUUAAAAUUUUGUUUUAAUUUCUUAUUUUCCUCUCAUUCUAUUUUCUCUUUUUUUCUUAUGAUGUUUAUUUGUCCUUAAGCUCAUCCUACUUUGGUCUUCAUUUCUGAAAUUAUUUUUUCUUUUACUCCUAGUUCUUUUUAAAAUUCUCUUAGCUCACAUUUCAAACUUUUCUUUUGUCCAAUCAUCUCAUUUUCUUUUUUUUUCCUCUUUUAAAAUAUUUUGAGACAGGGUCUCACUGUGUCACUCAGGCUGGAGUGCAGUGGUGCAAUCAUAGCUCAUUACAGCCUUGACCUCCUGGACUCCAGCGAUCCUCCCACUUCAGCCUCCUAAGUAGCCAGGAUUACGGUAGCACACCAUCAUGCCUGGCUAAUUUUAUUUUUUGUUUUUUGUAGAGACAGGGUCUUGCUAUGUUACCUAGGCUGGUUUUGGACUUUUAGUCUCAAGCAGUCCUGCUGUCUCAGCCUCCCUAAAUGCUAAGAUUACAGGCUCAUUUUCUAAUUCUGAUUUAUGGCAUUCUUCCAUAGCUACAAUCAUU
Molecule: long non-coding RNA, 2889 nt
Filed under: Homo sapiens (human)
Lineage: Eukaryota; Metazoa; Chordata; Mammalia; Primates; Hominidae
Description: HSALNT0159553
Source: RNAcentral